This 72-nucleotide transfer RNA is filed under the name Candidatus Hodgkinia cicadicola. RNAcentral's name for it is "tRNA-Met". It matches the Rfam family "tRNA". Rfam says of the family: Transfer RNA (tRNA) molecules are approximately 80 nucleotides in length. Their secondary structure includes four short double-helical elements and three loops (D, anti-codon, and T loops). Lineage: Bacteria; Pseudomonadati; Pseudomonadota; Alphaproteobacteria; Hyphomicrobiales. The record is from RNAcentral.
GGCGACAUAGUUUAAUUGGCAAAACGGAAGGCUCAUAAUCUUCAAAACAGGGUUCGAGCCCCUGUGGCGCUU